RNAcentral lists this non-coding RNA (91 nucleotides) under Thioflavicoccus mobilis. RNAcentral's name for it is "Glycine sequence". It matches the Rfam family "Glycine riboswitch aptamer". From Rfam's summary of the family: This family represents the bacterial glycine riboswitch. Glycine riboswitches usually consist of two metabolite-binding aptamers domains with similar structures in tandem. RNAcentral also lists the same sequence under 1 other name. Lineage: Bacteria; Pseudomonadati; Pseudomonadota; Gammaproteobacteria; Chromatiales; Chromatiaceae. The record is from RNAcentral.
GCUGGCCCCGUGGGAGAGACCGGUCUUGUGACCGGCGCCGAAGGCGCAACACCGCCCGGAAUCGCUCAGGCAAAAGGACCGUGGGGCCAAU